UUCGUAGGGUGCGAGCGUUGUCCGGAAUUAUUGGGCGUAAAGAGCUCGUAGGCGGUGUGUCGCGUCGGCCGUGAAAACCUGCAGCUUAACUGUGGGCUUGCGGUCGAUACGGGCAUCACUGGAGUUCGGCAGGGGAGACUGGAAUUCCUGGUGUAGCGGUGAAAUGCGCAGAUAUCAGGAGGAACACCGGUGGCGAAGGCGGGUCUCUGGGCCGAUACUGACGCUGAGGAGCGAAAGCGUGGGGAGCGAACAGG
Molecule: ribosomal RNA, 254 nt
Filed under: uncultured bacterium
Lineage: Bacteria
Description: partial 16S ribosomal RNA
Rfam family: Bacterial small subunit ribosomal RNA
Source: RNAcentral